Molecule: long non-coding RNA, 605 nt
Filed under: Brassica napus (rape)
Lineage: Eukaryota; Viridiplantae; Streptophyta; Magnoliopsida; Brassicales; Brassicaceae
Description: long non-coding RNA (BNAP_LNC024535)
Source: RNAcentral
CACUAACACGUCCCGCUGCGUCAAGGCACAAGGCUUGGCAACCCAUACAUAGAGUUAGCAUUUUCCGUUAGAUCGAGGCCUAAGACUUUUCAACCCGUACCACGACCUAACGUUGUGUUAGACCGGACUAGUCAAAUAUCAGAGUACUCAUGAAGCGCAUAUAAAACAAUUACUGUUAUUGAUUUAAGAAAUAUUCAUACAUUGAAUAAUUCAAGACUGGGCCCGGCCUAAUGCCAAAUCGAGUCAAUAUAACACAAUUCACAAUACCGUUUACAAAAGGCAUGAAAAUCUACACCGGCGGUCCUAACGUCCAGCACCAUGCUAUCCAUUCAUCCUUACCUAAAGCGACCUGCAAAAAGGACAACGAAGUUGGAUGAGUAAUCUAGUAUUACUCAGUGAGCUGGCGGCCUUUACCCGCAACCUAGACUCUAACCCAGACAACCCAAAAUAACAAUCAAUCUAGCCCUAGCAUGCAAUAUAAGCUAAGGCUAAGCAAACCGUUACUAGGUUAGACUUGGCCUCCUGCCAUAAUCCAACUUCCAAGUAACGGGAACCUGCAUUAAAACAAGUCAACAACCAAUCCCUAGUUAACCAUAUAUACGCUU